UAACAUUUAACUUUAAAUCACACACAUUCCGACACGUGUUCCGGGGUGCUUCCAGCGAGGCUGAGAAGUCGGAGACAUGGGGGAUGUGGAGGCCUAAC
This is a non-coding RNA of Vibrio furnissii NCTC 11218, 98 nucleotides long. The record is from Rfam. NCBI's taxonomy places the organism in Bacteria, Pseudomonadati, Pseudomonadota, Gammaproteobacteria, Vibrionales, Vibrionaceae.